This 253-nucleotide ribosomal RNA is filed under the name uncultured bacterium. RNAcentral describes it as "partial 16S ribosomal RNA". It matches the Rfam family "Bacterial small subunit ribosomal RNA", at positions 524 to 776 of the family's 1533-position model. The record is from RNAcentral.
UACGUAGGGUGCAAGCGUUGUCCGGAAUUAUUGGGCGUAAAGAGCUCGUAGGCGGUCUGUCGCGUCUGCUGUGAAAUCCCGGGGCUCAACCCCGGGCCUGCAGUGGAUACGGGCUGGCUGGAGGCAGGCAGGGGAGAACGGAAUUCCUGGUGUAGCGGUGAAAUGCGCAGAUAUCAGGAGGAACACCGGUGGCGAAGGCGGUUCUCUGGGCCUGUUCUGACGCUGAGGAGCGAAAGCGUGGGGAGCGAACAGG